Molecule: long non-coding RNA, 206 nt
Filed under: Homo sapiens (human)
Lineage: Eukaryota; Metazoa; Chordata; Mammalia; Primates; Hominidae
Description: HSALNT0118360
Source: RNAcentral
GGGUGGUUGGGUAGAGCUGGCUGUGGCUCCAGUGGCCGCUGGAGACCUCGACUUCCAGCAGAGAUUCUGGACACAGGUUGCUGUGCACCCAGGGGUCCUGGAAGAGGCUCUAUCCUGGGUUGUUGAUUGAUUGAUUGAUUGAUUGAGGCAGGGUCUCACUCUGUCACCCAGGCUAUGCCUGGCUAAUUUUUGUAUUUUUAGUAGAG